This 2930-nucleotide ribosomal RNA is filed under the name Escherichia coli. RNAcentral describes it as "23S ribosomal RNA". It matches the Rfam family "Bacterial large subunit ribosomal RNA". Lineage: Bacteria; Pseudomonadati; Pseudomonadota; Gammaproteobacteria; Enterobacterales; Enterobacteriaceae. The record is from RNAcentral.
GGGUUGUGAGGUUAAGCGACUAAGCGUACACGGUGGAUGCCCUGGCAGUCAGAGGCGAUGAAGGACGUGCUAAUCUGCGAUAAGCGUCGGUAAGGUGAUAUGAACCGUUAUAACCGGCGAUUUCCGAAUGGGGAAACCCAGUGUGAUUCGUCACACUAUCAUUAACUGAAUCCAUAGGUUAAUGAGGCGAACCGGGGGAACUGAAACAUCUAAGUACCCCGAGGAAAAGAAAUCAACCGAGAUUCCCCCAGUAGCGGCGAGCGAACGGGGAGCAGCCCAGAGCCUGAAUCAGUGUGUGUGUUAGUGGAAGCGUCUGGAAAGGCGUGCGAUACAGGGUGACAGCCCCGUACACAAAAAUGCACAUGCUGUGAGCUCGAUGAGUAGGGCGGGACACGUGGUAUCCUGUCUGAAUAUGGGGGGACCAUCCUCCAAGGCUAAAUACUCCUGACUGACCGAUAGUGAACCAGUACCGUGAGGGAAAGGCGAAAAGAACCCCGGCGAGGGGAGUGAAAAAGAACCUGAAACCGUGUACGUACAAGCAGUGGGAGCACGCUUAGGCGUGUGACUGCGUACCUUUUGUAUAAUGGGUCAGCGACUUAUAUUCUGUAGCAAGGUUAACCGAAUAGGGGAGCCGAAGGGAAACCGAGUCUUAACUGGGCGUUAAGUUGCAGGGUAUAGACCCGAAACCCGGUGAUCUAGCCAUGGGCAGGUUGAAGGUUGGGUAACACUAACUGGAGGACCGAACCGACUAAUGUUGAAAAAUUAGCGGAUGACUUGUGGCUGGGGGUGAAAGGCCAAUCAAACCGGGAGAUAGCUGGUUCUCCCCGAAAGCUAUUUAGGUAGCGCCUCGUGAAUUCAUCUCCGGGGGUAGAGCACUGUUUCGGCAAGGGGGUCAUCCCGACUUACCAACCCGAUGCAAACUGCGAAUACCGGAGAAUGUUAUCACGGGAGACACACGGCGGGUGCUAACGUCCGUCGUGAAGAGGGAAACAACCCAGACCGCCAGCUAAGGUCCCAAAGUCAUGGUUAAGUGGGAAACGAUGUGGGAAGGCCCAGACAGCCAGGAUGUUGGCUUAGAAGCAGCCAUCAUUUAAAGAAAGCGUAAUAGCUCACUGGUCGAGUCGGCCUGCGCGGAAGAUGUAACGGGGCUAAACCAUGCACCGAAGCUGCGGCAGCGACACUAUGUGUUGUUGGGUAGGGGAGCGUUCUGUAAGCCUGUGAAGGUGUACUGUGAGGUAUGCUGGAGGUAUCAGAAGUGCGAAUGCUGACAUAAGUAACGAUAAAGCGGGUGAAAAGCCCGCUCGCCGGAAGACCAAGGGUUCCUGUCCAACGUUAAUCGGGGCAGGGUGAGUCGACCCCUAAGGCGAGGCCGAAAGGCGUAGUCGAUGGGAAACAGGUUAAUAUUCCUGUACUUGGUGUUACUGCGAAGGGGGGACGGAGAAGGCUAUGUUGGCCGGGCGACGGUUGUCCCGGUUUAAGCGUGUAGGCUGGUUUUCCAGGCAAAUCCGGAAAAUCAAGGCUGAGGCGUGAUGACGAGGCACUACGGUGCUGAAGCAACAAAUGCCCUGCUUCCAGGAAAAGCCUCUAAGCAUCAGGUAACAUCAAAUCGUACCCCAAACCGACACAGGUGGUCAGGUAGAGAAUACCAAGGCGCUUGAGAGAACUCGGGUGAAGGAACUAGGCAAAAUGGUGCCGUAACUUCGGGAGAAGGCACGCUGAUAUGUAGGUGAAGUCCCUCGCGGAUGGAGCUGAAAUCAGUCGAAGAUACCAGCUGGCUGCAACUGUUUAUUAAAAACACAGCACUGUGCAAACACGAAAGUGGACGUAUACGGUGUGACGCCUGCCCGGUGCCGGAAGGUUAAUUGAUGGGGUCAGCGCAAGCGAAGCUCUUGAUCGAAGCCCCGGUAAACGGCGGCCGUAACUAUAACGGUCCUAAGGUAGCGAAAUUCCUUGUCGGGUAAGUUCCGACCUGCACGAAUGGCGUAAUGAUGGCCAGGCUGUCUCCACCCGAGACUCAGUGAAAUUGAACUCGCUGUGAAGAUGCAGUGUACCCGCGGCAAGACGGAAAGACCCCGUGAACCUUUACUAUAGCUUGACACUGAACAUUGAGCCUUGAUGUGUAGGAUAGGUGGGAGGCUUUGAAGUGUGGACGCCAGUCUGCAUGGAGCCGACCUUGAAAUACCACCCUUUAAUGUUUGAUGUUCUAACGUUGACCCGUGAUCCGGGUUGCGGACAGUGUCUGGUGGGUAGUUUGACUGGGGCGGUCUCCUCCUAAAGAGUAACGGAGGAGCACGAAGGUUGGCUAAUCCUGGUCGGACAUCAGGAGGUUAGUGCAAUGGCAUAAGCCAGCUUGACUGCGAGCGUGACGGCGCGAGCAGGUGCGAAAGCAGGUCAUAGUGAUCCGGUGGUUCUGAAUGGAAGGGCCAUCGCUCAACGGAUAAAAGGUACUCCGGGGAUAACAGGCUGAUACCGCCCAAGAGUUCAUAUCGACGGCGGUGUUUGGCACCUCGAUGUCGGCUCAUCACAUCCUGGGGCUGAAGUAGGUCCCAAGGGUAUGGCUGUUCGCCAUUUAAAGUGGUACGCGAGCUGGGUUUAGAACGUCGUGAGACAGUUCGGUCCCUAUCUGCCGUGGGCGCUGGAGAACUGAGGGGGGCUGCUCCUAGUACGAGAGGACCGGAGUGGACGCAUCACUGGUGUUCGGGUUGUCAUGCCAAUGGCACUGCCCGGUAGCUAAAUGCGGAAGAGAUAAGUGCUGAAAGCAUCUAAGCACGAAACUUGCCCCGAGAUGAGUUCUCCCUGACUCCUUGAGAGUCCUGAAGGAACGUUGAAGACGACGACGUUGAUAGGCCGGAUGUGUAAGCGCAGCGAUGCGUUGAGCUAACCGGUACUAAUGAACCGUGAGGCUUAACCUUACAACGCCGAAGGUGUUU